Molecule: ribosomal RNA, 468 nt
Filed under: uncultured bacterium
Lineage: Bacteria
Description: partial 16S ribosomal RNA
Rfam family: Bacterial small subunit ribosomal RNA
Source: RNAcentral
GACGAACGCUGGCGGCGUGCUUAACACAUGCCAGUCGAACGGAAAGGCCCUGCUUUUGUUGGGUGCUCGAGUGGCGAACGGGUGAGUAACACGUGAGUAACCUGCCCUUGACUUUGGGAUAUCUUCAGGAAACUGGGGCUCAUACCGGGUAGGAGCUCCUGCUGCAUGUUGUUCGUUGGAAAGUUUCGGCGGUUGGGGCUGGACUCGCAGCUUAUCAGCUUGUUUGUGUGGUAGUGGCUUACCAAGGCUUUGACGGGUAGCCGGCCUGAGAGGGUGACCGGCGACAUGGGGACUGAGAUACGGCCCAGACUCGUACGGGAGGCAGUAGGGGGGAAUAUGGCACAAUGGGGGGAAGCCUGAGGCGGAAACGCUGCGAGCGGGAUGACGGCCUUCGGGGUGUAAACAGAUGUCGCCGGUGACGAAGAGGGAGUGACGGUAAUGGGUAAAGAAGCAACGGCUAACUACGUG